This 126-nucleotide small RNA is filed under the name Marmota monax (woodchuck). The record is from RNAcentral. Lineage: Eukaryota; Metazoa; Chordata; Mammalia; Rodentia; Sciuridae.
GCUGGGUGUGGUGGCACACUCCUGUAAUCCCAGCAGCUUAGGAAGUUGAGACAGGAGGAUUGAAAAUUCAAAGCCAGCCUCAUCUAAAAGUGAGGCACUAAGCAACUCAGUGAUAUCCUGUCUUUA